Long non-coding RNA from Populus trichocarpa (black cottonwood), 709 nucleotides. RefSeq lists it as uncharacterized. The record is from RefSeq and is a predicted model, not a curated record. The transcript is spliced from 2 exons. NCBI's taxonomy places the organism in Eukaryota, Viridiplantae, Streptophyta, Magnoliopsida, Malpighiales, Salicaceae.
AACCUCCGUAUGCUGGAGGACCUAAAUAACUUUAUAUCUUUCUAGCAUCAGAACUCAACUUUUUUAUGAAAAUUAAAGGUGAGUACGCGGGGCACGUAACUCGUCCUCAUCUAUAUAAUAGCUAGCGAUUGAAAAAAAGUAGAGCACUGUUGCUCUCUUGCUAUGUAUACCGAGUAUUGUAGCGCUCUCUAAUCGGAGAGGUGUGGUAGCGGGGGAAGGGAAGUAAUUCUCAGGAAGCCACUCCCUGUCAUCUUCUGCAACUCUACCCUUUCUUAAUCUCGAUUGAAGCCUCGCUCUUUAUUCUUCUCUCACCUUGCAAGUUUUGUUUUGGGUUUUACGUAUAUAGGAUUUAUUGAAAAAAAUGGAAGAACAACAUAGAUAGAAAGUGAACAACAUUGUUUUGUUUGUGCGUGCGAGACAGAGAAGGGAUAUGGUGCUAGAAGCUUUUUAAGGGUUCUUCUUAAGAACUUGAGAACUUUGACGUUCUUGUUGGGUAUGCUUUCCUUCUUCUUGCUGUAUCUAUUUGUUUUAAGGUUUGUUGAAACUAAGAACAUCUAAAGCUUUAAUUUUCUUGCUUUGACUGUGUGUUGGGAGUAUUAUUUUGCUACUGAGAUAAUGGAAACCCUGUUUGUAUCUAUCUUCUUCUUCUUCUUCUUCUUCUGGUAUGAAAAAGUUAUUAAAAGAUGAAACAAACCCAUUGCCUUAUUAA